CCCCUGCCGGAAUCCUGGGAAUGUCGCCGCCCGGGGAAGCAUCUGGCGGGCCUCGGGGCAGAGGGAGGGGUCAAACCUGGAAUUUCUCGGGUGUUUUUGCACAAAAUCCCCCCCAGUGAUUUCAGCCCCGUGAAGUUGCAGCCGACGGAAGUGAGAGGGAAGCUGCCCACUUCUUUUCGGGGCGGCCUUUGUCUCGGCCUCUUCCGAUCCCCGUUCGUAGAGCGACCCAAUGCCUCUCCCCCGGCUCGGAAGAUUCUUUCUUUGUGUCUGCGGGAGGAAGCCCCUCUCGGGCUGAAGCCGGCAGGGCGGCCCCUGCGACCGUUUCCAGCUGGAUUGUCGCCAUCUUGCGGCAGGAUAAGGUGGCCGCACGGGGCCACGGGACAGAUCCGCACGCCCACAACUUGCUUGGGUCCCAGGCAACCGAAAUGUUAGGUGGCGAGUCCAGGAGUGACAGCGUGCUGCAAGCCUCCCCGAGGGGCUCUUGCCCACCCCCAUGCCCCCCACCGGCAUCAUAACCAACCUGAAUGAAGUGCCAACCCCUCACCAUUUCCCAUGAGACAAACCAAUGAUUAAGAAGACAGAGACGCACUCUGUCUUGUUCCUACUGGUUAGUAAUGUUAUUAUACUUGAUGAGUAUUAUUAAAAGACCUCUGUUAUUAAAGACUUCCCAUUAUUAUUA
Lemur catta (Ring-tailed lemur) is the source of this 679-nucleotide long non-coding RNA. RefSeq lists it as uncharacterized. The transcript is spliced from 2 exons. The record is from RefSeq and is a predicted model, not a curated record. NCBI's taxonomy places the organism in Eukaryota, Metazoa, Chordata, Mammalia, Primates, Lemuridae.